AUCUACAAGAAAUCCAUGCAUGUGGGUUGC
Molecule: non-coding RNA, 30 nt
Filed under: Mus musculus (house mouse)
Lineage: Eukaryota; Metazoa; Chordata; Mammalia; Rodentia; Muridae
Source: RNAcentral